UACGAAGGGGGCUAGCGUUGUUCGGAGUUACUGGGCGUAAAGGGCGCGUAGGCGGCGCACCAAGUCAGGCGUGAAAGCCCGGGGCUCAACCCCGGAAUUGCCUUUGAGACUGCAUCGCUAGAAUUGUGGAGAGGUAAGUGGAAUUCCGAGUGUAGAGGUGAAAUUCGUAGAUAUUCGGAAGAACACCAGUGGCGAAGGCGACUUACUGGACACAUAUUGACGCUGAGGUGCGAAAGCGUGGGGAGCAAACAGG
This 253-nucleotide ribosomal RNA is filed under the name uncultured bacterium. Its description in RNAcentral is "partial 16S ribosomal RNA". It matches the Rfam family "Bacterial small subunit ribosomal RNA", at positions 524 to 776 of the family's 1533-position model. The record is from RNAcentral.